UUAACUUUUAAUAACAUACCCAGAAAUAGACUAUGAGCUGGAGCUUUAGUCCUACGGCGGGGGCACCCCGCCGAGGCAACGUUUAGGUAGGUUCACAGGGGGUUAGAGCCAGGGGCACUCGGUAAUGAUCCCUCCGCUGGUUCACCAACGGAGA
Molecule: unclassified non-coding RNA, 154 nt
Filed under: uncultured fungus
Lineage: Eukaryota; Fungi
Description: sequence contains ITS1
Source: RNAcentral